AUGAAACUGGGACUUACCAUGCACACAAGUCUAUUCUCCUGGAUUUCCUUAUCACAGGAGAGAUCUGUGGUGUCAUCACCUCCAGCAAUCCUUUCCCCAAUGUCACCACUGAUUCGCAUCACCUCUACAUGCAGCCGACCUGCCACCUAUAACAAGAGAAGAAAAAUGGGAUUUUGUUAUUUCUCCCAUUUUAGAGUCAGGUGGUUGGGUUAAUGGUAAAUGAGAAUUUAGAAGUGUAGGUUCUAACAGUUACUUUUCCUCAAAGUACUUGGAAUAAUCACCACCAAGCAGAUGGAAACACAGGUAAUAAUAAUACACAUAAAUAACACUUAUUAUUGAUGAAAAAGAGUCACAACAACGUACUACCACCACUGUAAUGUUUCCUAAACUUUUCUCUGCAGGGUAUAAGGCAUAAAGAGAAAACUAACCUCUCCUUUCUGGUUGACAAUUGGAACAGCAUACUGUAACUUCACAUCAUAGAAGAGGGACUCGAGGAAGACAUUCGCCACCCCAAUGAGACUGUGAUUUUCCUGUUCGUCAUAGAAUGGAUCAGCACGCUUGAAGUAGGACCGUAUGACCUUUAAAGAGAUUUGGAACAUCGCAACUUCAGAAAUCACUUAAAACAAAUUAAUUCAGGGAGGCUGGGUGGCUCAGUCAGUUGAGCGUCCGACUUUGGCUCAGGUCAUGAUCUCAUAGCUUGUGAGUUCGAGCCCUGCAUCGGGCUCUGUGCUGACAGCUUGGAGCCUGGAGCCUGCUUCGGAUUCUGUGCCUCCCUCUCUCUCUGUUCCUCCUCCGCUCAUGCUCGCUCUCUCUCUCUCUCAAAACUAAAUAAACAUUCAAAAAAAAUUUAAAACAAAUUAAUUCAACCUACUACCACCUUUUCAUGGCCAGUAAGAAAGUGAUCAAACUCAGCUU
Molecule: long non-coding RNA, 915 nt
Filed under: Lynx pardinus (Iberian lynx)
Lineage: Eukaryota; Metazoa; Chordata; Mammalia; Carnivora; Felidae
Source: RNAcentral